UGGGGAAUAUUGCACAAUGGGCGCAAGCCUGAUGCAGCCAUGCCGCGUGUAUGAAGAAGGCCUUCGGGUUGUAAAGUACUUUCAGCGAGGAGGAAGGCGUUGUGGUUAAUAACCGCAACGAUUGACGAUACUCGCAGAAGAAGCACCGGCUAACUCCGUGCCAGCAGCCGCGGUAAUACGGAGGGUGCAAGCGUUAAUCGGAAUUACUGGGCGUAAAGCGCACGCAGGCGGUCUGUCAAGUCGGAUGUGAAAUCCCCGGGCUCAACCUGGGAACUGCAUCCGAAACUGGCAGGCUAGAGUCUUGUAGAGGGGGGUAGAAUUCCAGGUGUAGCGGUGAAAUGCGUAGAGAUCUGGAGGAAUACCGGUGGCGAAGGCGGCCCCCUGGACAAAGACUGACGCUCAGGUGCGAAAGCGUGGGGAGCAAACA
This 427-nucleotide ribosomal RNA is filed under the name uncultured bacterium. RNAcentral describes it as "partial 16S ribosomal RNA". It matches the Rfam family "Bacterial small subunit ribosomal RNA", at positions 355 to 774 of the family's 1533-position model. The record is from RNAcentral.